UACGAGUGCCCCAAGCGUUAUCCGGAAUUAUUGGGCGUAAAGGGUGUGUAGGUGGUUUUGUUAGUCUUCUGUUAAAUUCUUCGGCUUAACCGGGGGUCUGCAAAAGAAACGGCAAAACUAGAGGAUGCGAGAGGUAUGCGGAACUCAUGGUGUAGGGGUGAAAUCCGUUGAUAUCAUGGGGAACACCGAAAGCGAAGGCAGCACACUGGCGCACUCCUGACACUGAAACACGAAAGCGUGGGUAGCGAAUGGG
RNAcentral lists this ribosomal RNA (253 nucleotides) under uncultured bacterium. Its description in RNAcentral is "partial 16S ribosomal RNA". It matches the Rfam family "Bacterial small subunit ribosomal RNA", at positions 524 to 776 of the family's 1533-position model. The record is from RNAcentral.